This 606-nucleotide ribosomal RNA is filed under the name Triticum aestivum (bread wheat). Its description in RNAcentral is "partial small subunit ribosomal RNA". The record is from RNAcentral. Lineage: Eukaryota; Viridiplantae; Streptophyta; Magnoliopsida; Poales; Poaceae.
AUGAAUGAUAAUGAUGUACAUUGGCGGUUCACGGGUUUUUAUGGGCAUCCGGCUUGGAGUGAUCGUAAGUUAUCGUGGGAUAAUAUUAGGAAUUUACAUAAUCUGGGUCAUCACCCCUGGGUGAUCUUAGGGGAUUUUAAUGAAAUUUUACUGUCGUCAGAAAAAGAGGGCGGAAUUGCAAGACCAAAUGCUAUGAUGAGAGACUUCCGUAAUUGUCUAGGAGAGUGUGGCCUCGAGGAUAUGGGUUGUAUUGGUGACCCUUUCACUUGGAGGGAAGGCGAUACUAGAGAGAGGCUUGACCGUGCGGUGUGCAAUGUGGAAUGGGCGAACAAAUUCCCUCGGGCUGCGUUAAUUAAUGAGGAACAUGUUCAUUCUGAUCAUCGUCCACUCGUACUGGAGAUGGAAUAUUUUGAUGGAAAUAUUUUUAAUGCCCCAAGGGGACGAGUAAAACAAUUUGAAGCUAGAUGGCUCAAGGAGGAGACGGUCGGCGAAAUUGUUCGUACAGCAUGGGAAAAGGCAAAGAUGAUGGGUAUUGGGCCAAAACUCGCUGAUCGUACUCGUGCGCUCCAGUCAGAUCUCUGCACAUUUGGGAUCGUGAGGUUUUGA